RNAcentral lists this unclassified non-coding RNA (1173 nucleotides) under Hevea brasiliensis (rubber tree). Lineage: Eukaryota; Viridiplantae; Streptophyta; Magnoliopsida; Malpighiales; Euphorbiaceae. The record is from RNAcentral.
AAAAAAAAAAAAAAAAAAAUGUAAGUGCAAUUAUUUACCGUUAAGUAAUGGCCAUAACAGCUAUUACAAACAUGGAAAUUUAUUAUUCUUUUCGAAGCAAAUGGAAAUUUAUCUUAGAGUGGGGCAGGAAGCUUAGUUGAAUCUUUUGUUUCUAGUUUCUGGGGGUUCCCUCUUUUGUUUCUCACUUUCUCUCAACUUUCGAUUCUAAAAUUUUGUCCUUUUACAAAUCUUUCACUUCUUAAGUUAAUGAUCAUCAAUUGAUGCAAAUUUAUUUUAAGUGAAGGAGAGCAAUUUACAUCCAUAUUUUGCAAAGGGUGAGUAGUUUAUCUCUGUUUUUGGUUUUGUACUUAUUUGUUGAAGAAAAUGUAGGUUUGUGAUAGGUUGAUGUAUUUAAUGUCUUUAUUGGAUAUAUUUAUGCUUAUUAUUUAGUUGUGUAUCUUAGUUUUACUUGUAUGUUUAUAUAUCUAUUCAUUUUUUGAACUUUGCAAAUUUAAAAAAUUUUUUUGUAACAACAGAUUGUCAUCAUUCUGUUAUGGCCGUUACAGGCUUGUUUCUAUUAUCCAUGACUGCUAUUGCAAUUUAAAUUUGUGUACCAUAUGGGAGGAGUUAGUGAAGAAUUUGAAUGAACUACUGAGAGUUAUGAUUUCUGACCAUAAAUUUGUUGAUUGGAAAUCCUAACUUCCUAAGGCCACUUGUUAUAGGGGGAAAUGAGGAAAAUGUAAAAGACAGGAAUCCUUCAUGCCACUAGUCAAUAGGAUACUAAAAUUCAAUCAUUCAGCCAGACAGGAAUCCUUCAAGCCAAGUUGCAAAAUUCAAGUUUGCAAUGUUGCAACCUAUACGGUUGCAGUUCCUAAAUUUAAAACCAGAUAUAUAGAGUGUUUAAAGCAAUUAAGCAAAUAAUAUUGCAUGAACUUAAUAAUGUUUUGAGUUAGAAAACGCAAUCUUGGGGAAUUAACCAGAACCAGCAGGACCUGGACUGAAAUCUUUGGGUUUGGCUUUGUGCAUUGUGACUUAGAGGUUUAUCUAAUAAUGUGCUGUACAUGAAGUUUAUGUGGGAUAUACACAUAUUAUCAGGUUGAACAUUUUGAGAGUGGUGAUCAUUGGGCCUGUUUGGCAUUGCUAUUGAAACUGUUGUUGAAAAAAUUACUUUUUUAAAUAUACUAGUUAGAUAGU